AACGCUAGCUACAGGCUUAACACGUGCAAGUCGAGGGGAAACGAUAUUGGAAGCUUGCUUCCGAUAGGCGUCGACCGGCGCACGGGUGAGUAACGCGUAUCCAACCUGCCCACCACUUGGGGAUAACCUUGCGAAAGUAAGACUAAUACCCAAUGACGUCUCUAGAAGACAUCUGAAAGAGAUUAAAGAUUUAUCGGUGAUGGAUGGGGAUGCGUCUGAUUAGCUUGUUGGCGGGGUAACGGCCCACCAAGGCAACGAUCAGUAGGGGUUCUGAGAGGAAGGUCCCCCACAUUGGAACUGAGACACGGUCCAAACUCCUACGGGAGACAGCAGUGAGGAAUAUUGGUCAAUGGACGAGAGUCUGAACCAGCCAAGUAGCGUGCAGGAAGACGGCCCUAUGGGUUGUAAACUGCUUUUAUAAGGGAAUAAAGUGAGUCUCGUGAGACUUUUUGCAUGUACCUUAUGAAUAAGGACCGGCUAAUUCCGUGCCAGCAGCCGCGGUAAUACGGAAGGUCCGGGCGUUAUCCGGAUUUAUUGGGUUUAAAGGGAGCGUAGGCCGGAGAUUAAGCGUGUUGUGAAAUGUAGACGCUCAACGUCUGCACUGCAGCGCGAACUGGUUUUCUUGAGUACGCACAAAGUGGGCGGAAUUCGUGGUGUAGCGGUGAAAUGCUUAGAUAUCACGAAGAACUCCGAUUG
Molecule: ribosomal RNA, 696 nt
Filed under: uncultured Bacteroidales bacterium
Lineage: Bacteria; Pseudomonadati; Bacteroidota; Bacteroidia; Bacteroidales
Description: bacterial SSU rRNA
Rfam family: Bacterial small subunit ribosomal RNA
Source: RNAcentral